AGAAAUAGAUGCAACAACUUCUCUUAACCAUUGACUAUCCUUACUGCUCCCUCGCCGAUAAAUGGCUUGCCUCUUCUCCAACAAAUCACUACUGGUACUUAUACUAAAUUUCAAACUUCCGUUUCCAAAAUUUAUCUUUAAUGUUGAAAAUUCUCAAUUUUGACAGUCAUCUGCAUUCACUCUUAAAGAAAUAAUUGGGUAUUGAGUUAUAAAGAAAAUUCUUAACUUAAGAUAUCCUGUAUAACAAUAGAUAUAUUUCACUAUUUAUGUAUCUAUCCUAUAAUUCUUUUCUUUUGUAGUCAAAACUUAUGCAAUAACCGCCACCAUUCUUUUUGUCGUUUUACUCCUUAAAUCCCUAAGGGAACUGGAUGGUUUACUUACACAAAGCCAAAGAAUAGAGACUUUGUACAAUUGCGGAAUCUGCUUGACUCUUUUAAUGUCGUUGAUACUUCGCUUAUAACUAAACAGAACCAACAGAAGGUGCAACAAUCGAGGGUUAAAAGAACAGAUAGGAAAUGUCAUUUAUUUAUUAAAUUCUUGCUCUUAACAUUCUUCCCCUAGACCAUUUUCUUAGGUUUCCCUAAACUAUUAGUCUAUGUGUAAGGCUAAACAAGUUCGUUACAUUUUAUUUAUGUGCAUUUAUCAAACACUUCAUGCAAUUUUGACUUAAAAUAACAUAAUAUUGAAUUGUUAUUUGGAUGCUCAGUUUUCAAACAUAUGGUUCUGCAGAUACAGUUUAUGGAACUUAUUUUUGGAUUUAUUUUUAAAAUUUAGUACUACCAUCAUAUUUUACAAGUCUCAAUUGGAUGCGUUAUUAUAGUUUUCCUUUUCUUUUUUGAGAAAAAAAUUGACUUAUUGAUCUCUAGCUUUCUUUUUACCACUUCGUUUUGUAUGAAGGCAGCUACACAAGAUUAGAAAUGAUUAUAUUUGAGAAAGUACAAGUGACCUAAAAAUACAUUGAUUAUGUGUUGUUAUGCUGAUCAAAAUAUUUUAAACAAAAUGAGAUAAGAUUGAAAAUUACAUUAAGAUUGGUUCAAGAUAUGUACAAUUGUUUACAUAGUCUCUGCCUAUAUUUAAACUUUGGUAGACUUCUUAUAUAGAAAAUAUCUCAUAGAAAUUCUAUAGAGUCCAAGACUAGGCAGAUAUUGUCAGAUCACUCAAUUAGACAGAGCUACAUUAGACUUGACAAACGCCUAAGUAUCUAAUAUAUUUGUUUCGUAACAUAUUUAUUGCAUUGUGCCAGAUCUUAUUGUGACAAUGAGGAAUAAUUUCUUAAGAAUUGUGUAUCGUUUUUGUUUUUGAUGUGAUAACAUAAAUGUAUGGUCCUAAGGAAUACAACUAUUAUGCUUCAAAACAACUAAUGUGUAAUAUUAUAGUGUCAUGAUAGAAGGCUAAUGAGCUGGAGGUAUCGUUAAAGAGUAUUUUGAAAGUAUGGCAUGUAUAUCGUGAGAAUAUAACUAUCCGUAGAGGUUUUGUGGCCUCACAACUGAGAUCUAGCAAUGCAUUUUACGCAUAGAUCAUUGGUGUUGGAGGUAUGUUAGGUUGUGUAGAACAAAAUUUGCUCCCUUUUUUUUUCAUUGCAGGAAAUUGAGACAUUGGCUUUGAAGAGCUAAGCUCUCUCUUUUGUUAGGUCUUCUCUUCAAUGUUGUAGAAUAUAUAUAUAUAUAUAUAUUUGGAUACAUUAGGCAAUUCUAUUGUUUCUUGCUCCAUUUUUAAAUAAAUAGUGUCAACUAUAGAAGUCGGCAUAAGAGGGUUAUAUUUUUAGUUCAUAAUUACCAUACCACUACAGUCUACAAACUCUUUUAAGUUUCUUUGCUUGAAUGUUGGUCUAUAUGGAAAACGUACCAAAAUAAUAGACAUUUUUACUAUUGUAAAAAUACUAAUGUCUCACCCUAGACACAUGACGUCUCCAAGAUAUGUUUUGUCUCUUUGAUUUGGACCUCCAUUCAUUUUCAUUAGGUGACAAAAUUCUAACCAAAUUUAUCAUUCUUAUAUUGUUUAACGGUGGUAAAUAGUAUGAACCAUGGGGAUGGUAAUCUCUUUGAUGUUUUGAAUGGAUUUGCAUUGUGUCUUACCAGCUUCCUGUACAGUCUGUUCCUGCUUAAUUUACUCUCGAAAGAAAAAUGUUGUACAGGUUGUUGCAGUUCCGAUAUACCCUUAGAAAAACGUAUAGUAGAAAUUAGAUUGUUGUAUUUUAUACUCAUUUUUCAUCUAUAUAUAAAAACUAUAACUUUCACAUUUUUCUUUAUUCCAGGUUACACGAAGACAUUUGAUUCAGUCCCUGCUCUGAGGAAAGCAGUUAUAUUAGGCUACAACCCUAUUAGACCUUGGAUGUCUGUAGUUUACAGGUAUGCCAUUACAACUAAUCGUGUUUCUUCGAAAAUAGCCAUAUUUUAUAAUUUCUAUGGCUUCUUGAAACAACUUCUUCAUUUGUAUGCCUAUUUUGAAUUUUGAUUUAGGUGGCUCUAUGAUUUCAAUUCUCGUGAGUACUUUUACGAUGGUUUAUCAUAUGGCACCCAACAUACCCUUCAAAACUUCUGAUGAUAUCUCCAAUGAAAUUAAACUACAUUUUCAAUUAUCCUUUUCUUUGACAUUUUGAUGACAAACACCAUAAAGUUUAACCGUCUGAUUAUGAAAUGAAAGUAUUCCAUCGAGGUGCACAAGGUCAUGGUCAUGUAUUAUGUUAAGUCCUUUAACCUAGAAGAUGAAAAUAGAUGAGUGUUUUCCUUUAUCUCGAUUAAUGCCUCAACUUUCUGGACAACACCAUCAAUAUAAACCCUAAAAAGAUAUCACCCUUGGUUCUCUCUUGAUUUACCAGAGAUAGUUCAUCUGCUAAGUAUGUUUUGGUAAAGCACAAUAAAACCUUGCCCAAAUAUUCAUCUCGCUUAUAGCUCACUCAAUUGUUGCAUCAACAAUUUGGAUUGUAUUUUUAUCAUAUUUAUGUGCUUUGCAGGUUCACUAUAGAAACCAAGUUCGAGCUCUCUUUCUCCUAUAUAAAAUAACCGCAAUGAAUCAUUAUUGUUGCAAUAUGUUUUGUUGUAUAUUCUAUGCUAAGCUCCGUCCAACUGCUAUGAAUUCUUCCAAAGUAAGCAGAGUUAUUGUCAUUCCCUUAUCUUGCUUUGUUAUAUAUAGUAACAUACAACAAGAGGCCUUUUCUGAUUUUCACGUUUUAGUGUUGUUCAUCUUCAUUUCACCCGUAAAAGCAAGGUAUAAAGGUUGAAAUGAAUUUCAAAAUGAUAAAUCAGCAGUUCCCUACAUAGUUGGAUGGGGCACAAGAAAAGGAAAUGUAUACGAGGCAGAAACUUUUGUCAUAAUUGAUGAUGUUAGACUUUUGUAAUUUUAAAAUCAGAUGCACAUCUGAAUAAAAUAUGGUCUUGAUGUUUUGGGGAUGCCAUUAAUGUAGCUGAUUGUUAA
This 3414-nucleotide long non-coding RNA is filed under the name Solanum tuberosum (potato). RNAcentral describes it as "long non-coding RNA (STUB_LNC002501)". Lineage: Eukaryota; Viridiplantae; Streptophyta; Magnoliopsida; Solanales; Solanaceae. The record is from RNAcentral.